RNAcentral lists this ribosomal RNA (859 nucleotides) under Lyomyces elaeidicola. Its description in RNAcentral is "Lyomyces sp. XWW-2020a partial large subunit ribosomal RNA". It matches the Rfam family "Eukaryotic large subunit ribosomal RNA", at positions 66 to 915 of the family's 3401-position model. The record is from RNAcentral. Lineage: Eukaryota; Fungi; Basidiomycota; Agaricomycetes; Hymenochaetales; Schizoporaceae.
UAACAAGGAUUCCCCUAGUAACUGCGAGUGAAGCGGGAAAAGCUCAAAUUUAAAAUCUGGCAGUUUCACUGUCCGAGUUGUAAUCUGGAGAAGCAUUUUCUGUGUUGGACCGUGUACAAGUCUCUUGGAAUAGAGCGUCAUAGAGGGUGAGAAUCCCGUCCAUGACACGGACUACCAAUACUUUGUGAUAUGCUCUCAAAGAGUCGAGUUGUUUGGGAAUGCAGCUCAAAAUGGGUGGUAAAUUCCAUCUAAAGCUAAAUAUUGGCGAGAGACCGAUAGCGAACAAGUACCGUGAGGGAAAGAUGAAAAGCACUUUGGAAAGAGAGUUAAACAGUACGUGAAAUUGUUGAAAGGGAAACACUUGAAGUCAGUCGCAUUGUCUUUGACUCAACCUGGCUAUAUGCUAGGUGUACUUCUUAGAUGAUGGGUCAACAUCAAUUUUGGUUGGUGGAUAAAGGUUGGAGGAAUGUGGCAUCUUAUGAUGUGUUAAGCCUUCAUUCGUAUACACUGGCUGGGAUUGAGGUCUGCAGCAUGCCUUUUUGGCCGGGGUUCGCCCACGUAACAUGCUUAGGAUGUUGGCAUAAUGGCUUUAAGUGACCCGUCUUGAAACACGGACCAAGGAGUCUAACAUGCUUGCGAGUAUUAGAGUGGAAAACUCUUAUGCGUAAUGAAAGUGAAAGUUGGGACCCUUCAUUGGGGCACCGACGCCCGGCCCUGAAGUUCUCUGACGGUGCUGCGGUAGAGCAAGUACGUUGGGACCCGAAAGAUGGUGAACUAUGCCUGAAUAGGGUGAAGCCAGGGGAAACUCUGGUGGAGGCUCGUAGCGAUUCUGACGUGCAAAUCGAUCGUCAAAUUUGGG